AGCGAACGCUGGCGGCAGGCUUAACACAUGCAAGUCGAGCGGGCAUCCUUGUGGUGUCAGCGGCAGACGGGUGAGUAACGCGUGGGAACGUGCCCUUCGGUUCGGAAUAACUCAGGGAAACUUGAGCUAAUACCGGAUACGUGCGAGAGCAGAAAGGUUUAUCUGCCGAAGGAUCGGCCCGCGUCUGAUUAGCUAGUUGGUGAGGUUAUGGCUCACCAAGGCGACGAUCAGUAGCUGGUCUGAGAGGAUGAUCAGCCACACUGGGACUGAGACACGGCCCAGACUCCUACGGGAGGCAGCAGUGGGGAAUAUUGGACAAUGGGGGCAACCCUGAUCCAGCCAUGCCGCGUGAGUGAUGACGGCCCUAGGGUUGUAAAGCUCUUUUCUCCGGGACGAUAAUGACGGUACCGGAGGAAUAAGCCCCGGCUAACUUCGUG
This 437-nucleotide ribosomal RNA is filed under the name uncultured bacterium. RNAcentral's name for it is "partial 16S ribosomal RNA". It matches the Rfam family "Bacterial small subunit ribosomal RNA", at positions 29 to 507 of the family's 1533-position model. The record is from RNAcentral.